AUACUUACCUGGCAGGGGAGAUAUCAUGAUCACGAAGGUGGUUUUCCCAGGGCGAGGCUUAUCCAUUGCACUCCGGAUGUGCUGACCCCUGCGAUUUCCCCAAAUGUGGGAAACUCGACUGCAUAAUUUGUGGUAGUGGGGGACUGCGUUCGCGCUCUCCCCUG
This 164-nucleotide small nuclear RNA is filed under the name Castor canadensis (American beaver). Its description in RNAcentral is "U1 spliceosomal RNA (ENSCCNG00000005796.1)". It matches the Rfam family "U1 spliceosomal RNA". From Rfam's summary of the family: U1 is a small nuclear RNA (snRNA) component of the spliceosome (involved in pre-mRNA splicing). Its 5' end forms complementary base pairs with the 5' splice junction, thus defining the 5' donor site of an intron. There are significant differences in sequence and secondary structure between metazoan and yeast U1 snRNAs, the latter being much longer (568 nucleotides as compared to 164 nucleotides in human). Lineage: Eukaryota; Metazoa; Chordata; Mammalia; Rodentia; Castoridae. The record is from Rfam by way of RNAcentral.